GAUGAACGCUUGCGGCGUGCCUAAUCCAUGCAAGUCGAGCGAAGCGGGGACGGGUGAGUAAUACGUGGACAACCUCCUAUAAGACUGGGAUAAUUUUGGGAACCCGGAUCUAACCCGGAUACUGAUAGAUGGAGCCUCGCUUCAUUAGCGAGUUGGUAAGGCAACGGCUUACCAAGGCAACCAUGCAUAGCCGACCUGAGAGGGUGAUCGGCCACACUGGAACUGAGACACGGUCCAGACUCCUACGGGAGGCAGCAGUAGGGAAUCUUCCGAAAUGGGCGCAAGCCUGACGGAGCAACGCCGCGUGAGUGAUGAAGGUCUUCGGAUCGUAAAACUCUGUUAUUAGGGAAGCGGUACCUAAUCAGAAAGCCACGGCUAACUACGUGCCAGCAGCCGCGGUAAUUC
Molecule: ribosomal RNA, 405 nt
Filed under: uncultured bacterium
Lineage: Bacteria
Description: partial 16S ribosomal RNA
Rfam family: Bacterial small subunit ribosomal RNA
Source: RNAcentral